This 489-nucleotide ribosomal RNA is filed under the name uncultured bacterium. Its description in RNAcentral is "partial 16S ribosomal RNA". It matches the Rfam family "Bacterial small subunit ribosomal RNA", at positions 28 to 507 of the family's 1533-position model. The record is from RNAcentral.
GAUGAACGCUAGCUACAGGCUUAACACAUGCAAGUCGGGGGGCAGCAUGAACUUAGCUUGCUAAGUUUGAUGGCGACCGGCGCACGGGUGAGUAACACGUAUCCAACCUGCCGAUGACUCGGGGAUAGCCUUUCGAAAGAAAGAUUAAUACCCGAUGGCAUAGUUCUUCCGCAUGGUAGAACUAUUAAAGAAUUUCGGUCAUCGAUGGGGAUGCGUUCCAUUAGGUUGUUGGCGGGGUAACGGCCCACCAAGCCUUCGAUGGAUAGGGGUUCUGAGAGGAAGGUCCCCCACAUUGGAACUGAGACACGGUCCAAACUCCUACGGGAGGCAGCAGUGAGGAAUAUUGGUCAAUGGACGAGAGUCUGAACCAGCCAAGUAGCGUGAAGGAUGACUGCCCUAUGGGUUGUAAACUUCUUUUAUACGGGAAUAAAGUGAGGCACGUGUGCCUUUUUGUAUGUACCGUAUGAAUAAGGAUCGGCUAACUCCGUG